This is a long non-coding RNA of Numida meleagris (helmeted guineafowl), 5333 nucleotides long. RefSeq lists it as uncharacterized. The record is from RefSeq and is a predicted model, not a curated record. The transcript is spliced from 4 exons. NCBI's taxonomy places the organism in Eukaryota, Metazoa, Chordata, Aves, Galliformes, Numididae.
GGCGAUGUCGCGUCACUUUGGUGUCUAAAAAGCUCGCUCGCAGGAGAACUUUGCUUUCUGGAAUCUUCUGUCCGUUUGUCGUUUCGAUUAGCAAAGAGAAGUAGUCGUAGAUAGCCUAAAACUUGAACAUAGGAAGAUCUGUACUAACGUGCGGAAAAACUUCUUUUGAUCAAGUUGACAGAGCACUGGAACAGUCUCAUCUGCUGUACAGUUCCCAGUGAAUACUGUAAUUAGUUGCAUUCUGCGUUGUACCAUUGCGCCAGUGAAGUGAGUCCCUGGGUGGCUCCCGAUGACUUGAGGUGUCCUGCAGGCAGCCAUCAACUUGAGUCCUGUAGAUGGCUCAGCACUGGAGCUGCACAGAGAAACUGUCACCAGUGAGCUGUCCGAGGGAAUUAGCAUUCUGCAGGUAGCAGUCAUAAAUCCUUCCAGUGACAUCAACAUUAUGAUUCUGCAGCAGUGGAUAUUAACCUUUUCCCUCAUGUUACAAUUUAAAGACGUUUCAGGCUUCUCCUCCCCACAGAAGUCAUAAAGCACUGGAAGUCAAUUACGAGGUCUUGAACCAGAUUCACCCCUGUGGGGUGUGAGAUUGACCAUAUUCUCAGCGCUGUUCUAGGCAGUGUGUGCAAGUGCCCUUCUCCUCAGCUGUGUGGCUUUGUGCUGAGAUUGCCGUAAGGCUCCUUGCCUGAUGCGUGCCAGCUGUGGCCGCACCUGGGGAUGUGGGCUCAGAUGUUCUCACUGCUGUCACGGGAUCCCCACCCUUACACGUUUUAUUUGUUCAGCCAGUUGGUGUCACUAUUGUUUUCCUUCCAGUCGAUUUUUUCCUCCUGUCUUAAAAAAAAUGAUAAAUUCUUUGCUGAAACCUAAGGCGCCCAACUCUGUUCUGCAGCAGGAAGGUUUCUAUUCUGGUAAAAAUUUCCUAUCUCAAAAAAUCUGAAUGACUUUCGUAUUCACAGUGGUCACCUGAAGUCAGUGCCUGUGCAGGGCGAGGGAGCCCGGAGAUGCAAUGCCAGUGCAAUACUGGUGAUCAGUAUGGGCAGAUAGCAGAGCGUUUGGUGAAUGUUUCUGCUUUUUAGGUACAAAUGUCACAAAGCUUUAUGUUUCUGGUAGAAAAUGACACAUUGCUCUCCUUGAGCGUAAUUAACUCUGAUUGUACAACAUCACAAUUUCUUGCUUUCGUGGCGGAACUGAAAUGCGGCAUGACAGGGUGUGGGCAUUUUUAUAAACCUGAAAUCAAUUUAUCUUGCUCUUCCCUCUGCCCUCCUCCUCCUCACAUACUAACAAUAACAGCAAUUAAAGAAGUCGUUAAGCUAUUGCAGGAUGCAUUCAGGUCUAAUGGGAAUGAGCUCCUCUCUAUUUGUGAAGAUGAGGUUCAUCAGCCCACUGGUGAUUAAAUUGUGUCAGUUAUAGUUUUCCGCUUGUCCUAAUUUUGCCCUAAAUUAAUCUGUUUGGACCACGGAUCAAAGCUGACUUUUAUCUGGCAAGUCCUUCUUAUUGCAGAAGUGCAAUGGGAGGAGAGAGGCAGAAGGUCCAGAGAGAGAACCUUUCCCUGACCAUCCCCUGGUGCAGCUCCAGGCUGUUCCCUACAGAGCAGAGCUCAGCAGUGCCCCUCUGCUCCCUGUGAGGAUCUGCAGGCCGCCAUGAGAAGGAAGUUCCAGACAAACAAGCAGAAGAACUUCUUCACAGUGAGGGUGACGGAGCACUGGAACAGGCUGCCCAGAGAGGUUGUGGAGUCUCCUUCUGUGGAGAUAUUUGAGACCCGUCUGGACACCACCUAUGUGAGCUAGUGUAGGGAACCUGCUUUAGCAAAGGGGUUGGACUUGAUGAUCUCUUGAGGUCCCUUCCAACCUCUGCAAUUCUAUGAUUCUGUGACGAGGAGCUGCAGGCCGCCAUGAGGAGCUGCAGCCGCCAUGAUGCACUGGGCCCAGCAAAUCCAGGGCCCUCAGCUGCCCCUCACAUCCCUUGCCCUCUGACCCUUCCCCAGCUUUGUAAUCCUCCUUUGGACACGAUAAUGGUUACACUAGCUUACUGUCCAGUAAGCUCUGGGGGAAUCUUUUCCCUUUCUUUCUGUCUCUUUAAAAAAAAAAAAAAUCGAAGCUCAUUGCAGUUCCGUCUAUAGGUAGAUUAAAAAAAAAAAAGGAGCAGAAUUUGAAUAUUAGACUUACUUUAGAAAUUUACUGAAUCAUUCUCUGGCUUUUUAAAAACUAGGAAAAAGUAUAGCAAGUAUUUCUGAAAAUUUAGUCCUUUAGAUGCUGCAGGACUGAAGGUUUCUAUUUCAGCAAGCGAUGACUGAUCGUGUCUCGAAGUUGCUUUAUUCUUUAGAAGAGUCUUUCACAACAAGGAGAAGGCCUUCUUUAUCACAGAUACAUACAACUUGCCUGCUGGUGUCCAUUCGGGUACUCAGAAUCAUCCCUUCUGGCAAAAUUAAGGCAUGAGCUCUUAUUUGAUUGAUACAGGUGCUGGCAGAUCAAAAUCUGGCGGUUUUCCUACUGAGAAGAGAGCUUCUUUUGUAAGAUAUCUUUCCUCAGGGUUUAUGAGCUAAACUGGGCAAACAACUUCCUCCUUUCACAACUAUGAAGAAUGUCAGAACAUGGCAACUUUAUGGUACACGCUCUCCUCUGAAAUUAUUGCUUUGAAAGCUCUGAAAUCUCAAUUUCACCUUCUCGUGUCCUCACUCAGCUUUCUUGCACAACAUUCCUUUAAAACAGAGGAGAAAAACAGUAGAAACAGAGAUGAAGAAAUAGAAACAUGCUGUUUUGUUCCGUUACCAGCCCCAAAACAGGAUGCAGGCAGGAAAGCUUUGCACAGGCAGUGCUGGCUGCCACCAGGUUUGGUCUAUUCUUAUCCUAUUUCACAGCAGAAUUUAACACCAUGGUGAAUGUUACUGAUCCUCCUAAGGAUAUCUUCAUGGCUGCCAGGUGUUAGUUAUGUUGUAAGCUACAGUUUGCUUUGCUAAAUGUUGCUGCUAUUUUAGAGCUUUCAUAGAGAGGAAGCUGCCAGCGACUGUCCUCUUACCACAACACCCCCAUGAGAGCUGGUGGCUGCAAGGUGAGGUGACAAGCCCUGUUGGUGCAGCUGUGGGAUAUCCAAAUCAUGGACUCAGUUUCUCAUUCUGGCAGGAGUUUAUGUGAGCAUGGGGGGUGUUUUGGGUUGCUCUAUACAUGUCUGCAGUUCUCUUAGGCAGAAUCAUAGAAUCAUUUAAGGUUGGAAACCACUAGGAAUUUUUACUCCAAACGUCAACCCAUCACCAUCAGGAGCAGUAGCCUAAUGCAUAAAAGCAAGUGUCUUUUGUACAUAUCCAAAUCAUGGACUCAGUUUCUCAUUCUGGCAGGAGUUUAUGUGAGCAUGGGGGGUGUUUUGGGUUGCUCUAUACAUGUCUGCAGUUCUCUUAGGCAGAAUCAUAGAAUCAUUUAAGGUUGGAAACCACUAGGAAUUUUUACUCCAAACGUCAACCCAUCACCAUCAGGAGCAGUAGCCUAAUGCAUAAAAGCAAGUGUCUUUUGGGUAAUUCCUUACUUUCUGCAUUAGUUCUCUCUGAAAUGAAUGCAUGAACACUUUCCUUGCUCUUGUUCAUUGACUGUCUUUGUAUGUUUACAGCCUUCAGUGCCACAGAACUCAGAGCUGACUCAUCACUGUGAUGACAGCGAACAUGUUUUGGAAUGAAAUAAUGAUGAUAGGACAAGCUCUUUCCUCCUUGUUUAUCCACUCUGGCUGUCAGAGCUAAGCCUCGUUUGAACUUGUCUGAACCAUUCUGGGCUGUGCACCACUCCUGAGGACACGGAGCCAUUUCUAAACAAAACAUGAAGGGACUGAUUUGAAUUUCCACAAGAUCUCUUGUCAACUCUUCCUACUGUUUCCUCAGCAAAAUGAACCAACCUUCACCGCGAUGUUUUCCCCUUGUGCUGUCAAACCUAAGCUGCAUAAACGAUACUUUUUUUUCCAAGGUCUUCUGUCUGAGCGACAUGUGGAAUGAUAAGGAUAUUGUUUCCUCCCUAAGUUCUCAUCUCAGUGUAUACUCUCUCCCCAAAUCAUUUGGGAUAUCUGUAGGAAAUCAUCAGAACAUCACAAAUAUGUUUAUUCUUUGAGACUAAGAAACGUAUUUAAAAAGAGUAGAAAAUAGGAGACGUGGAUGUACUUAAGUUGCGAAGAGAGAAGAGCUUUUUCCAAGUUUGGAUGUCACGGUCUAAGCAGGUGAACAAAUAGUUGAGUGAAAACCUGGUGGGAUGCUUGAGCUCUGAGGGUGGUGGUGCUUAAUAGGCUGUACUCCAGCAGGAGAACAGAUUGCCCGGAUGAUGUACAGUCUCCACCACUGAAGACUUUCAAGGCCUGACUGAUUAAUGCCCUAAAUAACCUGGUCUGACCUCGCAGCCCACCCUGCUUUCAUCAGGAGGCUGCACUGAACUCCUUUCCAAUGAGAGCUAGUCUCUGAUGCUGGCUGUGGGCUUUGGGGGCUGUGGAAAGCAGCAGCCAGCAGAGACAGCAGGCUGAGCUGCAUGCUGCCCUCCCAGCUGUGCAGGGUCUUCUGUCUCUGAGUGCAUGGGCAGAGGGGUGAGCCCAGCCAAUGCCCGAACCAGUGAAGCCCUGUGGAGAUAAGCUGCUGCCUGGGUGUUAAUUGAAACUAUUUGGCCCUUGCUUAGUCAGCAGUGAUUCAUUUAAUAGUAAAAGCUCUGAGGCAUUUAAUGGAAAAAGGUACCAAUAAAUAAAUGUGAGAGUGGAUGCCCAAUAAUGGUCGUCAGCAGUUGUUUCCACAGAGCCAGGUUUUGUGUUUCACUCAAUAGAUUCAUGCAGCACUUUCAUUUUCUGUAUUAAUGCAAAUAAAUGAUAACCCAGUCCAUGUGUAAUUCAGCUCAGUUCAUGUGAGCUACAUCCUUACUUUCCAUAAUGCAAAUGAGAAAAUUGCAGCUCUGCUGUUUGUUUGAUGCAAUAGCCUUGCUCAGAAGCCCACCUCAGGACAGCACAAUCUCCCUGUAAGUACUCUCUUCACAUGAGCUUUUCAAGGUCACUGACUGCCAGAGCAACUCUUCUGUGCAAUUUCCUACCAUUAAGUACAGGAGAAGCAAGUCAGCCUUGGUACUUUAUUUAUAGAUCCUGGAGAUGCACAGUUCUUGCAUUCUAUUAACCAGGGCAGAAAUGGGAUGAAUUUUUUAUCCAUUAUGGACCUUGUGCUGCAUAAAAUAUUGUGCAUUUUUUGUAGGAGGCUCUACUGUUUUAACCUUUGACAUGUAAUUAAUGAUUCAGCUGCCAGUGUUCUGCUGAUGUAUAAGGCUUGUGCAGUGCAUGUGUACUUCCCCACGUCGUAUUCAUUCAAUAUAUUAAAUUGACUUUGUUUGUAAUAA